GAUGAAGAACGUAGCGAAAUGCGAUAAGUAAUGUGAAUUGCAGAAUUCAGUGAAUCAUCGAGUCUUUGAACGCACAUUGCGCCCCCUGGUAUUCCGGGGGGCAUGCCUGUCCGAGCGUCAUUGCUGCCCUCAAGCACGGCUUGUGUGUUGGGCCCCGCCCCCCGGCUCCCGGGGGGCGGGCCCGAAAGGCAGCGGCGGCACCGCGUCCGGUCCUCGAGCGUAUGGGGCUUCGUCACCCGCUCCGUAGGCCCGGCCGGCGCCCGCCGGCGACCCCCCUCAAUCUUUUCAGGUUGACCUCGGAUCAGGUAGGGAUACCCGCUGAACUUAAGCAUAUCAAUAAGCGGAGG
This 347-nucleotide unclassified non-coding RNA is filed under the name soil metagenome. RNAcentral describes it as "partial contains 5.8S ribosomal RNA, internal transcribed spacer 2, and large subunit ribosomal RNA". The stretch from base 1 to 120 matches the Rfam family "5.8S ribosomal RNA", at positions 35 to 154 of the family's 154-position model. The record is from RNAcentral.